UACGUAGGUGGCAAGCGUUGUCCGGAAUUAUUGGGCGUAAAGCGCGCGCAGGCGGUCCUUUAAGUCUGAUGUGAAAGCCCACGGCUCAACCGUGGAGGGUCAUUGGAAACUGGGGGACUUGAGUACAGAAGAGAAGAGUGGAAUUCCACGCGUAGCGGUGAAGUGCGUAGAGAUGUGGAGGAACACCAGUGGCGAAGGCGACUCUUUGGUCUGUAACUGACGCUGAGGCGCGAAAGCGUGGGGAGCAAACAGG
This 253-nucleotide ribosomal RNA is filed under the name uncultured bacterium. RNAcentral's name for it is "partial 16S ribosomal RNA". It matches the Rfam family "Bacterial small subunit ribosomal RNA", at positions 524 to 776 of the family's 1533-position model. The record is from RNAcentral.